GAUGAGCGCUGGCGGCGUGCCUAAUACAUGCAAGUCGAGCGAACAGACGAGGAGCUUGCUCCUCUGACGUUAGCGGCGGACGGGUGAGUAACACGUGGAUAACCUACCUAUAAGACUGGGAUAACCUCGGGAAACCGGAGCUAAUACCGGAUAAUAUAUUGAACCGCAUGGUUCAAUAGUGAAAGACGGUUUUGCUGUCACUUAUAGAUGGAUCCGCGCCGCAUUAGCUAGUUGGUAAGGUAACGGCUUACCAAGGCAACGAUGCGUAGCCGACCUGAGAGGGUGAUCGGCCACACUGGAACUGAGACACGGUCCAGACUCCUACGGGAGGCAGCAGUAGGGAAUCUUCCGCAAUGGGCGAAAGCCUGACGGAGCAACGCCGCGUGAGUGAUGAAGGUCUUCGGAUCGUAAAACUCUGUUAUUAGGGAAGAACAAAUGUGUAAGUAACUAUGCACGUCUUGACGGUACCUAAUCAGAAAGCCACGGCUAACUACGUG
This 497-nucleotide ribosomal RNA is filed under the name uncultured bacterium. Its description in RNAcentral is "partial 16S ribosomal RNA". It matches the Rfam family "Bacterial small subunit ribosomal RNA", at positions 28 to 507 of the family's 1533-position model. The record is from RNAcentral.